RNAcentral lists this long non-coding RNA (4807 nucleotides) under Ananas comosus (pineapple). RNAcentral's name for it is "long non-coding RNA (ACOM_LNC013568)". The record is from RNAcentral. Lineage: Eukaryota; Viridiplantae; Streptophyta; Magnoliopsida; Poales; Bromeliaceae.
CUAGUGGUGCAUUGAGCUGAGGUCAGUAAUUGCCCACUGGGAACUAUAAAUUAUAGUUCUCACGCCCUCUGUUUUAUGUUUUCUUUCAGAGCCUUCCACGCCGGGAGAGGUUAGGGACCGUGGGAAGGGCGUUGCUUCGAGUUAGCCCUUCAGCGAGUGACGAGUUUUAGGCGGUCUAUGUCACGCCCCGCGACCAACCGCCAAUUUGGACCAGGUCGCGGGGCCACUAACAGACCACCGAACGAACCGGGGUUUCCCCUAUACGCGGACAGAGUCUCCCCUGUACGUUCUAGGCGUCGCAAUCCAAACAAUACAACGAGUGUUCCAACUAGGAACGGAUAACAAUUCAGAUUGCAAAGGAAGUAUCAAAUACAUAAAACUAACAGCUAUUACAAGCAUUCACUUAGUACAUCACAGUUCAGUUUACAUUUUACUUCCGAAUUACAAUCUAAUUAUUACAUCAUUUAAUCUACAAGUUUGAUACAUUUUGAUUCUUGCCUACUAGUCCCCUAAGCUAGAUUGCCUCAGGGUACUGCUACCUCGGUCUCUGUGGUAGGGCGCUAUCUACUGAGCUACGCCCUCGCCCUGCGCCACCGCGCCGCACACGAACGACCUAAAAACCCCAAAACAACGUGGGGUGAGAACCAACUCCAUGGUUCCCAGUGGGUACGGCCACCCAAGGGAAAAGCUCGACCGAUAGGUCCGAGGAGGCACUGCAACAUGUUAGUUCAACAAUAUACAACAGAUAUAUAUAUAUUCAAUUGAAAUACAUGUCAUGCCUCACGAUAUGCGAUAUGAAAAUCAUGCAACUCUAUGCAACAUCUAGUAGAUCCAUAGAUUUUACAUUAUAGGCUACUUUAGCUCAAUUCUUUACACUAAGGUUCUAUUACCUUAGGAUCUCAACUCAGCUCACUGGCUUCUAAGGUCUCUAUUACCUUAGCUCAAGCCUCUAUCUCUAGCUCAUAAGGGUUCCUCUACCCUAACGAUGCUAACCACACGACUCGGCUUCGAGUCAAUCAUUCGCGGAUAGCCCGUGCACUGGCUGCUCAUCAGCCUACCGCCCUCUUUGUCUCAGCCCCCUAGCGGCGAAGUCGUCGCACACGCUAAGCUCGACUCAAGUCGCACCACUUGACCAUCCGGUGGUGAUCGCGUUGCCCUUACCCAGCGUGAGCUCGAGUCCUUACACACCGUCUGGCGGCGAACGAAUCGCACCACACCCAACAACGGUACAUGUCAGACUCAGCCACCUGGAGGCACCCGCAUCGUACUUACCCAGCAUGGAUUCAGUCUGCUCUGGCGGUCUGAUCCUCAAAUGGCUUAACCAUCCUGGCGGCGAAAUCGUCGUACAACGCCACGACAAUGGUUCAAGCCCCGGGCGGUGAUCUCUAUGUGAUCGCCCCCAAUCCUCCCUCGGUACCAAGCUCGGCGGCGAAGUCGUCGCACAAACGCCCUAGCUUCUACCAGGGUCAUCACAAGUCAUGGGAUUCCGAAAUCCACUUCCCACAGGUCGAGGAUCCAUAGCCAACCCUAUACUUUCGACCUAUCUCAUCCUAGUGGCUAUACCACUAUACUCAUCAACCUAGGUUCCAAUACUCUAGGUUCUAUGUCCACGUCACUUAACCUAGAUACACUUACUAGGUUCAUGUCAUCUUUGCCUAGAUGUCCACUUCUAGGUUUACUAAUUCGACCUAGGUUACUGACACUAGGUUCGAUGCCACAUACCUAGAUUGUUCGACUCUAGGUUCACUUGUUUAACCUAUGUUCUUUAACACUAGGUGAGAUGCCACUCGAUCUACCUGACAACCUAGUUGUCCAAUCAACUCUACUCACACUAGAGUUAUUAACUCAUGUUUUCUACUUGGCAUUUACUCUAUGCAUCUUUGUUCAUCAUGCAUUCUAUUUAGCAUUUCAAUCUAUGCAUUACUAUUAGUAUGCAUUCUUUACGUUAGCUAGCAUUAUAUACAUGUCAUGCUAUCAUGCUUGCUACUUACUAUACAUUCUUUACUUAGCCUUUACUUUAUGCAUUAUCAUUCAUCAUGCAUUUCUUGUCCUUGUCUACAUGCACAUGCAUCAACAUGGAGAUACAUUGCUAAGACAUAAAGGGCGACUUAGUCGCUUCGGUAAGCACAACCCACCUUAGCUCGCUUUUCCGAUUGCUCGUCAACACUUGCAAUCGGCCUCCCGCGGCACCCGGCACCCGUUCGGGCCCGAUCUCAUAGUUGCUCCCCUCGAGCGCGCCGCUUCGCAGUUUCAAGUGCUAGCGAUCUUCGCCUUGCCGCUACGGUGCUCGGGACCCGAUUUCACGAUUUAUGGACGUCGCCUCGGCCUCCCAGGCGGAAAUGAAGCUCCGAGCGCCCGUUUCUUCAAUAUCUUCGUAACGGCUUGUCGGAUUGUCGAACCGACUUCUUCAACGUGUUUCGCUACCUACCAAUUAGGUUUACGAAGGGUCAAAUGAUAUCAAACUCAUCUAUUUACAAAAACCCCCAUGGAUGCCCUAGAAUGCCCUUAACUUCAAAAUCACCAAAUCGAUCUAUGAAAUAGGGUGAAAUCAUCUUAGAGGCAUGCUAGGGUUCCUCCAAAUCCAUUUCUAGGGUUUAAAAACCCAUCUACAAUGAACUAUUACAAUAAGCCAUGAAACUUACCUCUCGAGAGAGCUCCAAUGGCUCAAGAAGGAUGAAGGAGAGGGUGAAGAUCUCCUUCUAGAUCUUCUUCUCCUUCCUCUCCAUCUUCUUCUUUCUCUUUUUCCUUCUCUGUUUUCCUUUUCUUUCCUUCUUUCUCUUUUCCUUCUUUUCUCCCUUGCACAAACAGAGGGAGAGAGAGAGAGGCUGAGGGAGUGAGAGAGAGAGGAAAAGAUCUCUCUCUAAUACCCUCUCUCAUUUUGUAACAAUAUCCCCAAAGGCCCCUCAACUUUUCACCUCUUACACAGCCCUUACUGGGCGUUCUGCGCGCGGAGGGACCGGUCUCCCCGACCUGGGACCGGUCCUCGGGGCCUUCCCCCGCGGACAGGCGUUCGGGAACCGGUCCCUCCCUAAGAGACCGGUCCUCGGGAGACCGGUUCCUCUCAGAGAGACCGGUUCCCGAGAGAUGAACCUUCGGGACUUAGCCGAUUUUCGGCUCUUCUCAUUGGUGUCGCAGGCUGGGACCGGUCCCUCCUCUGCCAGGGACCGGUUGCAUCAGCAACCCCACAGCCUUCGGCUGAUGGGACCGGUCUCUCACCUCCAGAGACCGGUCCCCGAGAGCAAUCUCAGCCCAAAAAUGUAGAUUGCAUUAUUUGCUCUCGCGGACUCCAUUCCAAUGCACUUCUCGAUUUUCGUGCAUCCUAAGCUUUUCCAAAGCUUAUAAACUCGACCAUUAGUCUAUUCGGGACGAAGCGCAACUCUCGGAUUUCGAGAACUCACAUCGUUACAGUCUACCUCUCGAUGUAUUUCAUUUUGGAGAGGUUGAGAGCUAUACCAGUGUACUAGAGACCACCCUUUUAUGUACCUUUGAGACAGAUUUUGUACUACUUCAUGGUUACUUUUGUUGUGUAGUUAUGUUUCUUUUACUCUGGUUUAGAUGAUAGAACUUUACUCGCUCUGAUAUCAUUAGUUGUUAUUAUUCUAUUUGUCCUAUUUCUUGCUUUUAUUUUCGCUGUUGAUGUAGACGCCUUAUAUGUGUUGACAUAUGGCGGGUGUGGGCAUGCUACCGAGAGGACCUCUGCCAGUCGCGGGGCGUGACAAAAAUCAUUCCUAGGUCAUUUGGUUCUCAUUCUAGGGUUUUAUCAUAAAAGGGGUCAAAGCUUACCUCAAAGCUUUCCCUUUUUUGUACUAGAGGUGAAGGAGAGGGAGCUUAAGUGUGAUGCUUAAGUGUCAUAAAGAGGCACUAAGCAAGUGAGUAUUUGGAUAUCACUUUGUGACAUGGAGCUAGACCGUUGGGUUACUAGUAGCUAUUGCCAUGAUUGAGAUAUGAGGGUUUGAUACUUGAGCCUUAACUACGCUUGUUUGCCAUUUGUGCUCAUCGCACAUGCUUGUGAGGGUCGCUCCCUACAAGCCGGCACUUCGGAGUUAGCCUACGCGAUCUAUGUUCGCUCGUGCGGUGUUGAGAAGCAUACGAGGUCGAGUGGGACAGACACAUUCCAAGAGCAGGAAUGUUGGGCUACCACAGGCACUUAGGCGGCACAGCUGGACUACCUUGGGUAGGUCCUUAAUUGGAAAUGGAAAUCAACACGGUGUUGAGUAUGUUAUAAUCACUACUAGAUAGAGAGUAGUAGUUGGAUUACUUUGACUUGCUUCUAGCAUAGUUUUGGACACUUGAGUAUACAUACAUACAUGUAGUAUGCUAGGAGAUAUUGCUUAUUGCAUUCAUACAUAUAUUAUUGCCAUGAUAAAGCAUGAUCUUCAUAACUUUAUAAAGUAAACCGUGACAUUUACCUGUGGCCAUGUAGGGACAUAUUGUUUGUGACAAAGUAAAGGUGUAUCAUAUUAAUGCCAUGUUUAAUUGCAAUAUAGUAGCUUAGCAUUUUAAUUAUGCUUUCAUAAAUGCAAUUUAUUCAUUAUUGCUGCUAUCUUUUUAGAUUUACCCUUUCUUUUGGGGCCUAGUGGUGCAUUGAGCUGAGGUAAGUAAUUGCCCACUGGGAACUAUAAAUUAUAGUUCUCACGCCCUCUGUUUUAUGUUUUCUUUCAGAGCCUUCCACGCCGGGAGAGGCUAGGGACCGAGGGAAGGGCGUUGCUUCGAGCUAGCUCUUCGGAGAGUGACGAGUUGAUAGGUGGUCUACCUCUCGAUGUUUUUAUUUUGGAGAGGUUGAGAGCUGUACCAGUGUAUUAGAGAC